This 509-nucleotide ribosomal RNA is filed under the name uncultured bacterium. RNAcentral describes it as "bacterial SSU rRNA". It matches the Rfam family "Bacterial small subunit ribosomal RNA", at positions 28 to 529 of the family's 1533-position model. The record is from RNAcentral.
GAUGAACGCUAGCUACAGGCUUAACACAUGCAAGUCGAGGGGCAGCACAGUGUAGCAAUACACGGGUGGCGACCGGCGCACGGGUGCGUAACGCGUAUCCAACCUUCCCGUUACUCUUGGAUAGCCUUCCGAAAGGGGAGAUUUAAUACAAGAUGGUAUUCAAAUUCCGCAUGUUAUUUGAAUUAAAGAUUUAUCGGUAACGGAUGGGGAUGCGUGACAUUAGGUAGAUGGCGGGGUAACGGCCCACCAUGCCUACGAUGUCUAGGGGUUCUGAGAGGAAGGUCCCCCCACACUGGAACUGAGACACGGUCCAGACUCCUACGGGAGGCAGCAGUGAGGAAUAUUGGUCAAUGGUCGGAAGACUGAACCAGCCAAGUAGCGUGAAGGAUGAAGGUUCUAUGGAUUGUAAACUUCUUUUAUACGGGAAUAAAACCUCCCACGUGUGGGAGCUUGUAUGUACCGUAUGAAUAAGCAUCGGCUAACUCCGUGCCAGCAGCCGCGGUAAUGGU